RNAcentral lists this ribosomal RNA (253 nucleotides) under uncultured bacterium. RNAcentral describes it as "partial 16S ribosomal RNA". It matches the Rfam family "Bacterial small subunit ribosomal RNA", at positions 524 to 776 of the family's 1533-position model. The record is from RNAcentral.
GACGUAGGGCGCGAGCGUUGUCCGGAUUUAUUGGGCGUAAAGGGCUCGUAGGCGGCUUGUCGCGUCGACUGUGAAAACCCGUGGCUUAACCGCGGGCCUGCAGUCGAUACGGGCAGGCUAGAGUUCGGUAGGGGAGACUGGAAUUCCUGGUGUAGCGGUGAAAUGCGCAGAUAUCAGGAGGAACACCGGUGGCGAAGGCGGGUCUCUGGGCCGAUACUGACGCUGAGGAGCGAAAGCGUGGGGAGCGAACAGG